AUUGAACGCUGGCGGCAUGCUUUACACAUGCAAGUCGAGCGGUAACAGGUCUUCGGAUGCUGACGAGUGGCGAACGGGUGAGUAAUACAUCGGAACGUGCCUAGUAGUGGGGGAUAACUACUCGAAAGAGUAGCUAAUACCGCAUGAGAUCUACGGAUGAAAGCAGGGGACCUUCGGGCCUUGUGCUACUAGAGCGGCUGAUGGCAGAUUAGGUAGUUGGUGGGGUAAAGGCUUACCAAGCCUGCGAUCUGUAGCUGGUCUGAGAGGACGACCAGCCACACUGGGACUGAGACACGGCCCAGACUCCUACGGGAGGCAGCAGUGGGGAAUUUUGGACAAUGGGCGAAAGCCUGAUCCAGCAAUGCCGCGUGCAGGAUGAAGGCCCUCGGGUUGUAAACUGCUUUUGUACGGAACGAAAAGCCUGGGGCUAAUAUCCCCGGGUCAUGACGGUACCGUAAGAAUAAGCACCGGCUAACUACGUG
This 482-nucleotide ribosomal RNA is filed under the name uncultured bacterium. RNAcentral's name for it is "partial 16S ribosomal RNA". It matches the Rfam family "Bacterial small subunit ribosomal RNA", at positions 30 to 507 of the family's 1533-position model. The record is from RNAcentral.